Molecule: non-coding RNA, 204 nt
Organism: Pelobates cultripes (western spadefoot toad)
Lineage: Eukaryota; Metazoa; Chordata; Amphibia; Anura; Pelobatidae
Source: the annotation of a GenBank genome assembly
AGUGACUCUUAUUGCUACUUUAGAGCUAUUUUAAGGUCCUGUUUUGAGCAUUUCUUAUACGAUUUAUUUUACUAUUUACAGUGUCUGGUAAGAGAUCUCCUAGUACGUGUAGGUUUUUCACCUACUUUUAUUCAUUUAUCUCUCAUAGCUUUUAUGGGGGCUUUCUUUUACUAGUAGAGAAUUCCUACCUGUCUGUUUCUAUCC